Molecule: unclassified non-coding RNA, 361 nt
Filed under: uncultured fungus
Lineage: Eukaryota; Fungi
Description: sequence contains ITS1
Rfam family: 5.8S ribosomal RNA (bases 1-106)
Source: RNAcentral
GAAAUGCGAUACGUAAUGCGAAUUGCAGAAUUCAGUGAAUCAUCGAAUCUUUGAACGCAAAUUGCGCUCUCGGGUUACCCCCAAGAGCACACCUCUCUGAGUGUCGGUUAAACCAAAUGUCACCAAUUUAUUGGUGUACGACAGCCUGAGGGUAAGGAGUCUCGGCUUCUUUCCCUUUAAAAUCUUCGCCGCACAACGUUGUGUGUUAGUGGCAAGUUGCUUUCACUUAAUUGUGAAUCCAAUCCAUCAACCCCUUGUUGAGCAGCAAAAAGAAACAAACCGGCGGAGUUUGCUUAACCGUAAACUCAGUCAACCUUAUGAAUUAGACCUCAGAUGAAGUGGGAAGACCCCCUGAAUUUAA